CAGCAGCCGCGGUAAUGCGUAGGUGGCAAGCGUUGUCCGGAAUUAUUGGGCGUAAAGGGCUCGUAGGCGGCUUCUUAAGUCUGAUGUGAAAGCCCCCGGCUCAACCGGGGAGGGUCAUUGGAAACUGGGAAACUUGAGUGCAGAAGAGGAGAGUGGAAUUCCACGUGUAGCGGUGAAAUGCGUAGAGAUGUGGAGGAACACCAGUGGCGAAGGCGACUCUCUGGUCUGUAACUGACGCUGAGGAGCGAAAGCGUGGGGAGCGAACAGGAUUAGAUACCCCUGUAGUCCCUGUCUCUUAUAC
Molecule: ribosomal RNA, 301 nt
Filed under: uncultured bacterium
Lineage: Bacteria
Description: partial 16S ribosomal RNA
Rfam family: Bacterial small subunit ribosomal RNA
Source: RNAcentral